RNAcentral lists this transfer RNA (73 nucleotides) under Salmo salar (Atlantic salmon). It matches the Rfam family "tRNA". From Rfam's summary of the family: Transfer RNA (tRNA) molecules are approximately 80 nucleotides in length. Their secondary structure includes four short double-helical elements and three loops (D, anti-codon, and T loops). Lineage: Eukaryota; Metazoa; Chordata; Actinopteri; Salmoniformes; Salmonidae. The record is from Rfam by way of RNAcentral.
UCCCGUGUGGCUCAGUUGGUAGAGCAUGGUGUCUGUAACGCCAGGGUUGUGGGUUUGAUUCCCACGGGGGGGG